This 425-nucleotide ribosomal RNA is filed under the name uncultured bacterium. RNAcentral describes it as "bacterial SSU rRNA". It matches the Rfam family "Bacterial small subunit ribosomal RNA", at positions 917 to 1344 of the family's 1533-position model. The record is from RNAcentral.
GGGCCCGCACAAGCGGUGGAGCAUGUGGUUUAAUUCGAUGAUACGCGAGGAACCUUACCAGGGCUUAAAUGUAGGUUGCAUGAUCUAGAGAUAGAUCUUUCUUCGGACUACCUACAAGGUGCUGCAUGGUUGUCGUCAGCUCGUGCCGUGAGGUGUCAGGUUAAGUCCUAUAACGAGCGCAACCCCCUGUCGUUAGUUACCAGCAAGUAAUGUUGGGUACUCUAGCGAGACUGCCGGUGCAAACCGCGAGGAAGGUGGGGAUGACGUCAAAUCAUCACGGCCCUUACGUCCUGGGCCACACACGUGCUACAAUGGCCGGUACAGAGAGCAGCCACUACGCGAGUAGGAGCGAAUCUUCAAAACCGGUCUCAGUUCGGAUCGCAGUCUGCAACUCGACUGCGUGAAGCUGGAAUCGCUAGUAAUCG